This 460-nucleotide ribosomal RNA is filed under the name uncultured bacterium. Its description in RNAcentral is "partial 16S ribosomal RNA". It matches the Rfam family "Bacterial small subunit ribosomal RNA", at positions 338 to 795 of the family's 1533-position model. The record is from RNAcentral.
CCUACGGGUGGCUGCAGUGAGGAAUAUUGGUCAAUGGGCGCGAGCCUGAACCAGCCAAGUAGCGUGAAGGAUGACUGCCCUACGGGUUGUAAACUUCUUUUAUAAAGGAAUAAAGUGAGGCACGUGUGCCUUUUUGUAUGUACUUUCUGAAUAAGGAUCGGCUAACUCCGUGCCAGCAGCCGAGGUAAAUCGGAGGAUCCGAGCGUUAGCCGGCUUUCUUGGGUUUAAAGGGCGCGUAGAUGGGUUGUUAAGUCAGUUGUGAAAGUUUGCGGCUCAACCGUAAAAUUGCAAUUGAUACUGGCAGUCUUGAGUACAGUUAAGGGAGGCGGAAUUCGUGGUGUAGCGGUGAAAUGCUUAGAUAUCACGAAGAACUCCGACUGCGAAGGCAGCUUACUAAACUGCCACUGACAUUGAUGCUCGAAAGUGUGGGUAUCAAACAGGAUUAGAUACCCGUGUAGUC